This 69-nucleotide transfer RNA is filed under the name Ictidomys tridecemlineatus (thirteen-lined ground squirrel). Its description in RNAcentral is "Spermophilus tridecemlineatus (thirteen-lined ground squirrel) tRNA". It matches the Rfam family "tRNA". Rfam says of the family: Transfer RNA (tRNA) molecules are approximately 80 nucleotides in length. Their secondary structure includes four short double-helical elements and three loops (D, anti-codon, and T loops). Further hydrogen bonds mediate the characteristic L-shaped molecular structure. tRNAs have two regions of fundamental functional importance: the anti-codon, which is responsible for specific mRNA codon recognition, and the 3' end, to which the tRNAs corresponding amino acid is attached (by aminoacyl-tRNA synthetases). tRNAs cope with the degeneracy of the genetic code in two manners: having more than one tRNA (with a specific anti-codon) for a particular amino acid; and 'wobble' base-pairing, i.e. permitting non-standard base-pairing at the 3rd anti-codon position. Lineage: Eukaryota; Metazoa; Chordata; Mammalia; Rodentia; Sciuridae. The record is from Rfam by way of RNAcentral.
GGUAUUGUAGCUCAGUGGUAGAGCACUUGCUUUGCACUCCUGAGGCACUGAGUUUGAGCCUCAGCACCA